This 1782-nucleotide ribosomal RNA is filed under the name Triticum aestivum (bread wheat). RNAcentral describes it as "partial small subunit ribosomal RNA". Lineage: Eukaryota; Viridiplantae; Streptophyta; Magnoliopsida; Poales; Poaceae. The record is from RNAcentral.
AUGGCGAAGAAGGCCGCAAAGCGAGCUAUUGGUGAAGCAAGGGGUCGGGCAUAUGAGGACCUCUACCAACGGUUAGGCACGAAGGAAGGUGAAAGGGACAUCUAUAAGAUGGCUAAGAUCCGGGAGAGGAAGACGAGGGAUAUUGGCCAAGUCAAAUGCAUCAAGGACGGAGCAGGCCAACUCUUGGUGAAGGACGAAGAGAUUAAGCAUAGAUGGCGGGAGUACUUCGACAAGCUAUUCAAUGGGGAGAAUGAGAGUUCUACCAUUGAACUGAAUGACUCCUUUGAUGAGACCAGCAUGCGUUUUGUGCGGCGCAUCCAGGAGUCUGAGGUGAAGGAGGCUUUAAAAAGGAUGAAAGGAGGCAAGGCGAUGGGCCCUGAUUGUAUCCCCAUUGAGGUGUGGAAAGGUCUCGGGGACAUAGCGAUAGUAUGGCUAACCAAGCUUUUCAACCUCAUUUUUCGGGCAAACAAGAUGCCAGAAGAAUGGAGACGGAGUAUAUUAGUACCAAUCUUCAAGAACAAGGGGGAUGUUCAGAGUUGUACUAAUUACCGUGGAAUUAAGCUAAUGAGCCAUACAAUGAAGCUAUGGGAGAGAGUCAUUGAGCACCGCUUAAGAAGAAUGACAAGCGUGACCAAAAAUCAGUUUGGUUUCAUGCCUGGGAGGUCGACCAUGGAAGCCAUUUUCUUGGUACGACAACUUAUGAAGAGAUAUAGGGAGCAUAAGAAGGACUUGCAUAUGGUGUUCAUUGACUUGGAGAAGGCCUAUGAUAAGAUACCGCGGAAUGUCAUGUGGUGGGCCUUGGAGAAACACAAAGUCCCAGCAAAGUACAUUACCCUCAUCAAGGACAUGUACAAUAAUGUUGUGACAAGUGUUCGAACAAGUGAUGUCGACACCGAUGACUUCCCGAUUAAGAUAGGACUGCAUCAGGGGUCAGCUUUGAGCCCUUAUCUUUUUGCAUUGGUGAUGGAUGAGGUCACAAGGGGUAUACAAGGAGAUAUCCCAUGGUGUAUGCUCUUUGCGGAUGAUGUGGUGCUAGUUGACGAUAGUCGGACGGGGGUAAAUAGGAAGUUAGAGUUAUGGAGACAAACCUUGGAAUCGAAAGGGUUUAGGCUUAGUAGAACUAAAACCGAGUACAUGAUGUGCGGUUUCAGUACUACUAGCUGUGAGGAGGAGGAGGCUAGCCUUGAUGGCCAGGUGGUACCUCGGAAGGACACCUUUCGGUAUUUGGGGUCAAUGUUGCAGGAGGAUGGGGGUAUUGAUGAAGAUGUGAACCAUCGAAUCAAAGCCGGAUGGAUGAAGUGGCGCCAAGCUUCUGGCAUUCUCUGUGACAAGAGAGUGCCACAAAAGGUAAAAGGCAAGUUCUACAGGACGGCGGUUCGACCCGCAAUGUUGUAUGGCGCGGAGUGUUGGCCGACUAAAAGGCGACAUGUUCAACAGUUAGGUGUGGCGGAGAUGCGUAUGUUGAGAUGGAUGUGUGGCCACACGAGGAAGGAUCGAGUCCGGAAUGAUGAUAUACGAGAUAGAGUUGGGGUAGCACCAAUUGAGGAGAAGCUUGUCCAACAUCGUUUGAGAUGGUUUGGGCAUAUUCAGCGCAGGCCUCCAGAAGCUCCAGUGCAUAGCGGACGGCUAAAGCGUGCGGAGAAUGUCAAGAGAGGGCGGGGUCGACCGAUUUUGACAUGGGAGGAGUCCGUUAAGAGAGACCUGAAGGAUUGGAGUAUCGACAAAGAGCUAGCUAUGGACAGGGGUGCGUGGAAGCUUGCUAUCCAUGUGCCAGAGCCAUGA